AAACUCCUUGGGGAAAUUCCCCGGAUCUAAAGGCAGAAAAUGCCAACUCCGAAAGGAGUGCCGGUAUCUGUGCCGUUCCAAAUGGCGACGACGGCGUUUGAACGCGCAAGAGCUCGGAGCCGGCCUUUUACCGCGAUCGAAUCAAAGUUAUACCACAUACACGUACUCAACGGGGAUUAC
Molecule: non-coding RNA, 180 nt
Filed under: Striatella unipunctata
Lineage: Eukaryota; Bacillariophyta; Striatellaphyceae; Striatellales; Striatellaceae
Source: RNAcentral